UCCCACGUGGUCUAGUGGCUAGGAUACCUUAGCUCUCACCCAGGAGGCCCUGGUUCGAUUCCCGACAUGGGAC
Molecule: transfer RNA, 73 nt
Filed under: Cordylochernes scorpioides
Lineage: Eukaryota; Metazoa; Arthropoda; Arachnida; Pseudoscorpiones; Chernetidae
Description: tRNA-Glu
Source: RNAcentral